UACGUAGGUGGCAAGCGAUACUCGGAAUCACUAGGCGUAAAGCGCAGGUAGGCGGUUUGAUAAGUCUUUUGUGAAAGCUCCCGGCUUAACUGGGAGAGGUCAAGGGAAACUGUCAGGCUAGAGUUUGGUAGGGGAUACUGGAAUUCCAGGUGUAGCGGUGAAAUGCGUAGAUAUCUGGAGGAACACCGGUGGCGAAGGCGGCAUCCUGGACCGAGACUGACACUGAGGAGCGAAAGCCAGGGGAGCAAACGGG
Molecule: ribosomal RNA, 253 nt
Filed under: uncultured bacterium
Lineage: Bacteria
Description: partial 16S ribosomal RNA
Rfam family: Bacterial small subunit ribosomal RNA
Source: RNAcentral